Molecule: non-coding RNA, 107 nt
Organism: Erinaceus europaeus (western European hedgehog)
Lineage: Eukaryota; Metazoa; Chordata; Mammalia; Eulipotyphla; Erinaceidae
Source: Rfam
GUGCUGGCUUUGGCAGCAUAAAUACUAACACUGGAGCAAUACAGUAAAGAUUAACAUGGCUCUGACUCAAGGGUGACACAAAGUAUUGUGAAAUGUUUCAUUUUAGG